GUGGAAGCUACGCUUGAAAGGCGUGGGCAGCUCCAGGUCAUCCGGGAGCUGCUGUCCAGUUCUGGGCAGCACCGCAAGGUCUGAGUGGACUUCCUCUUAGGAAGGUGCAUCCUGCAGCCCUGACGCGGUGGCCCAGGAAGGGAGGGUCGGAGGCUCUGACGGGAGGAUUUUCCUCUCUUCUCUGGGUGCCAGAUGUUUCAAAGGAGCUGGAUCCUCCUCGGAGGCCAUCCUGGGUACAUUGACGGAGCCCUCCGGGGUUCCGAACUGAAAAUGCCACCCCCGGGUGUCUCUGGGUAGGGGCUGAGUACUCAGGGAAACACCGUGUCACCCACGAGCAGCUCUGGAUACACCUGGAGACGUUCUCACUGCUGAUACGGAGAGUCCCUUGACUGAACGUCAAGUGGCGGACGGCAGAGCCCUCCGUGGAUGGGAGGUACCAAGGAGCUGAGCAGGAGGCAGAAUUCUUGGAGGUCGCUGGUGGCCGUCAUCACGUCACGGUGGCACUCUCCCUGCUAACGUUCUUAGCCACCCUACAGUGGACACUGUUCUUGCCAUUGUAGAAGUGACUAGAGAGGUUGACAUUUUUUCUCAGGUCACACAGCUGAAAGAUGGCUUGACUGGACUUUGAGUUCUCUCCAUAUGACCCCUCAGCACCCCCAUGUGCGUCUGCUGUCAGGUUAUUACUACGCCAUUGGUUUCUGGAGGAGUGUGAC
RNAcentral lists this long non-coding RNA (713 nucleotides) under Marmota monax (woodchuck). Lineage: Eukaryota; Metazoa; Chordata; Mammalia; Rodentia; Sciuridae. The record is from RNAcentral.